This 497-nucleotide ribosomal RNA is filed under the name uncultured bacterium. RNAcentral describes it as "partial 16S ribosomal RNA". It matches the Rfam family "Bacterial small subunit ribosomal RNA", at positions 28 to 507 of the family's 1533-position model. The record is from RNAcentral.
GAUGAACGCUGGCGGCGUGCCUAAUACAUGCAAGUCGAGCGAACAGAUAAGGAGCUUGCUCCUUUGACGUUAGCGGCGGACGGGUGAGUAACACGUGGGUAACCUAUCUAUAAGACUGGAAUAACUCCGGGAAACCGGGGCUAAUGCCGGAUAACAUGUUGAACCGCAUGGUUCUACAGUGAAAGGCGGCUUUGCUGUCACUUAUAGAUGGACCCGCGCCGUAUUAGCUAGUUGGUGAGGUAACGGCUCACCAAGGCAACGAUACGUAGCCGACCUGAGAGGGUGAUCGGCCACACUGGAACUGAGACACGGUCCAGACGCCUACGGGAGGCAGCAGUAGGGAAUCUGCCGCAAUGGGCGAAAGCCUGACGGAGCAACGCCGCGUGAGUGAUGAAGGUCUUCGGAUCGUAAAACUCUGUUAUUAGGGAAGAACAAAUGCGUAAGUAACUGUGCGCGUCUUGACGGUACCUAAUCAGAAAGCAACGGCUAACUACGUG